This 24-nucleotide non-coding RNA is filed under the name Arabidopsis thaliana (thale cress). Lineage: Eukaryota; Viridiplantae; Streptophyta; Magnoliopsida; Brassicales; Brassicaceae. The record is from RNAcentral.
UCUCUUUGGUGGUCUCUGCGAGGC